Molecule: ribosomal RNA, 1435 nt
Filed under: uncultured organism
Description: 16S ribosomal RNA
Rfam family: Bacterial small subunit ribosomal RNA
Source: RNAcentral
CAGGCUUAACACAUGCAAGUCGAGGGGCAGCAUCAUUAAAGCUUGCUUUGAUGGAUGGCGACCGGCGCACGGGUGAGUAACACGUAUCCAACCUGCCGACAACACUGGGAUAGCCUUUCGAAAGAAAGAUUAAUACCGGAUGGCAUAGUCUUCCCGCAUGGGAUGACUAUUAAAGAAUUUCGGUUGUCGAUGGGGAUGCGUUCCAUUAGGCAGUUGGCGGGGUAACGGCCCACCAAACCAACGAUGGAUAGGGGUUCUGAGAGGAAGGUCCCCCACAUUGGAACUGAGACACGGUCCAAACUCCUACGGGAGGCAGCAGUGAGGAAUAUUGGUCAAUGGACGAGAGUCUGAACCAGCCAAGUAGCGUGAAGGAUGACUGCCCUAUGGGUUGUAAACUUCUUUUAUACGGGAAUAAAGUGAGCCACGUGUGGCUUUUUGUAUGUACCGUAUGAAUAAGGAUCGGCUAACUCCGUGCCAGCAGCCGCGGUAAUACGGAGGAUCCGAGCGUUAUCCGGAUUUAUUGGGUUUAAAGGGAGCGUAGAUGGGUUGUUAAGUCAGUUGUGAAAGUUUGCGGCUCAACCGUAAAAUUGCAGUUGAUACUGGCGACCUUGAGUGCAACAGAGGUAGGCGGAAUUCGUGGUGUAGCGGUGAAAUGCUUAGAUAUCACGAAGAACUCCGAUUGCGAAGGCAGCUUACUAACCUGUAACUGACAUUGAUGCUCGAAAGUGUGGGUAUCAAACAGGAUUAGAUACCCUGGUAGUCCACACGGUAAACGAUGAAUACUCGCUGUAGGCGAUAUACAGUCUGCGGCCAAGCGAAAGCAUUAAGUAUUCCACCUGGGGAGUACGCCGGCAACGGUGAAACUCAAAGGAAUUGACGGGGGCCCGCACAAGCGGAGGAACAUGUGGUUUAAUUCGAUGAUACGCGAGGAACCUUACCCGGGCUUAAAUUGCAACCGAAUAUGGCGGAAACGCUAUAGCUAGCAAUAGCGGUUGUGAAGGUGCUGCAUGGUUGUCGUCAGCUCGUGCCGUGAGGUGUCGGCUUAAGUGCCAUAACGAGCGCAACCCUUGCCGAUAGUUACUAACAGGUCAUGCUGAGGACUCUGUCGGGACUGCCAUCGUAAGAUGUGAGGAAGGUGGGGAUGACGUCAAAUCAGCACGGCCCUUACGUCCGGGGCUACACACGUGUUACAAUGGGGGGUACAGAGGGCUGCUACCACGCAAGUGGAUGCCAAUCCCAAAAACCUCUCUCAGUUCGGAUUGAAGUCUGCAACCCGACUUCAUGAAGCUGGAUUCGCUAGUAAUCGCGCAUCAGCCACGGCGCGGUGAAUACGUUCCCGGGCCUUGUACACACCGCCCGUCAAGCCAUGGGAGCCGGGGGUACCUGAAGUGCGUAACCGCAAGGAGCGCCCUAGGGUAAAACUGGUGACUGGGGC